Molecule: ribosomal RNA, 403 nt
Filed under: uncultured bacterium
Lineage: Bacteria
Description: partial 16S ribosomal RNA
Rfam family: Bacterial small subunit ribosomal RNA
Source: RNAcentral
AUUGAACGCUGGCGGCAGGCCUAACACAUGCAAGUCGAGCGAGCGGCGGACGGGUGAGUAAUGUAUGGGGACUGCCCGAUAGAGGGGGUUAACUACUGGAAACGGUGGCUAAUACCGCAUACUAUCGGAUAACCCAUAUGGGAGUAGCUAGUAGGUGGGGUAUAGGGUCACGUAGGGCCCGAUCUCUAGCUGGUCUGAGAGGAUGAUCGGCAACAGUUGGACGGAGACACGGCCGAGCCUCCUACGGAGGAAGCAGUGGGGAAUAUUGAACAAUUGGCGCAAGCCUGAUGCAGCCAUGCCGCGUGGAUGAAGAAGGCCUUAGGGUUGUAAAGUACUUUCAGCGGAGAGGCGUUACCCGCAGAAGAAGCACCGGCUAACUACGUGCCAGCCGCCGCGGUAAUUC